CCACCCCGACCACUACUUCCGUCAUCCCCAACACCCUAUUGCAGCACCGCCUAUCACCCAACUAAUACAGAUCUAAGCCGCAGGCACUCCAACGCCGACCACCGUUCUCCGCCCAACGCUCCAUUGGCACCACCCUACUCCGUGAGCCCCCUCCUCCAAGCAGAACUUGACAAACGAGCACCAAGCAGGGCCACCUCCUCUACGUCCUCUACCCAAGCAGCGGAGUGUUCGUCUCCUCCAGCGAGCAGCUCUGCCUCCUCAACAUCCUAAAUCUAGGCAGCGCUGCCUCCUCUACUUUCCUACCCCAACCGAGAGCAUUUGGUAGGUGAGAUUUGUUUGCUAACUUCUAUUAUUAUUCAGUGUAGCAGUUUUAGUCAGAGAUGCAGUGUAUUGACAUGAAGCUUCGAUUGGCGGAAAGCUGGCCAAAUUUUCUGGUAUAUUAUCUGUAUUCUUUGGUAAUCUGCUUCUCAUAACUUGACCCAGUUCUCAUUGAUUGCCUGGUUUCCAGUGUGGUCUUUUACUUGCUCUGUUCAUGUGUUUGCAAGACGUUUAAACUGUUGGGCGUUAUAACAUGUCUGUUCUUUCUUGCAAUUGUCAUUGCAUCGCUAUAGGCGGCAAUUUAGGUUGUUUUUUGUCUGGAAAACUGCAGAAUAUGUUCGGUAAGUAAAAAUCCAAAUGCCCUUAAAACUGGCCAGAUUCGGAGAUCUUUUUACAUGUUCAUGGAUUACUGGUUUAUGAAUUUUCUGUAUACAACCAAAUUUUAUGGUCCAUGUAUCCAGUAUGUUAGACUUCCAUCCUGAAUUUUUGUUUGUUAGGUUUACCCUGAACUUGUUUAUGAUGUUAGGGUGCAUCAUUAUCUUGCUACUGUUAGUGGUCUACUGUGCAUUUUUUACGUGAUGUGCAACUUUUAUACAGUAUUUUCCAUUAUAUAGCAUUCUGCCUCUGUAAGAGUAUAAGUAAAUGCUCCUAACCUUAUUCAUGGAACUUUGUGUAACUAUAGCACCUUUUCUGUUUUCCUCUAAAAUAGAUGUAUAUUUCAAGGAAGCAGAUUCAUAACUAAAAUUGUGGUAUUACAGGAAAAAUCAGUUCUUGCAAAACAUCAACAGGAGACAGGCACACUGAUUGUUUAGGGCGGAUGCUCUUAGGUACCAGGAGUAUGUUGUUACCUAUGAAGCAAGGAUGCUGACUGCAUGCUCGUUGGUGGGUUCCUAAAUUUUGUGGGUUGUGAUAUCCAUGCACCUAAACAUAUGAUGUUUUAUUGUGGCAUUCUUCUCUUACAUGCAGUACUUUUGCCCACUCGGGCAAUAUCCCUUUUGCUAUUCUCUAUUGAUGUAACUUUGGUUAGAGAACUUGGGAGAUCUUGAUAGAACUUGUACCACAAGUGGAUCACCCUUUACACCAGCCUUUUAGAGUUGAUGAGCUUCAUAGAAUUUGUAAUAUGGUAGCUCAGACUUCUACACAAGUGGUUUACCCUUUUCACCAGCCUUUCAAAGUUGAUUUUUGCAGUAGUUUUCAAAACAUACUCUGCAAGUUGAUGCCCCCAUGUGUAAAAAUUGCUAUUUGGGUAAUCAAGUCUUCCAAGUUCUCCAUGAAGCCAAGCUUGCUCUUCCUUUUCUUUCUAAAAUACCCAAUGUACAUACACUGUUUCUGUAUUUUUUCACUCGCCUUUAUCUAUGUAUCCUCCUAUAAUUUGUAUGCUAUUGGCCUUUUCCUAUACGCAGUUGAAUGAGUCAUCACGUACUCUUUAGCUAUUAAGGUAUACCUGUCCAUGCAUCAUUUACAGCUUGUUUACCACUAUAUGUCGGAAACUGAGAAUCAUGAGGCUCUGAUGCUGCUGGAGUGGGGAUUUAUGUUCAAACACACUAGUAUGUAUGUAAUACUAAUACUUCACAUUGUUGUUUAUGAAGUUUUUAUAAAAAAAUAUUCGCAUGGAAUCCGAUGCUCCCUCCAUUGUCAUGGUUUUAUAUUUAGUUUCAUUGUUUGUUGGCAUUCCUUAUUAAUAAGCUAGUCCUUGUUGUAAUUUCAUGUAUAUUAAAUUGAGUGCUUAAAUUGUCCGUUGUUUCUCGGUGACCUAUGAAAUAGAGCAGACUUACAAUAUGAAUAGUAGGCUUUCAGUUCCACGCGCAAAUACAAUUGGUGAUUAACAAAAGUUCAAAGAAAGAAUGCAAAUCAAUUAUUGAUAUUUGCUCAAAGUCAUUAAAAAUCUGGGAGUUUCCAGGGAACACAUAUGGAACUGGGAUAUGAGGGUUUCUACAAGUUUUGGGCUUCAUAUUCCAACAAGUUCCAGUCAAAGCCAAUUUCAUGUUUCUGUUUUUUGUCAGCAGCUUGCUAAUAAUGCACAUUUCUCUAAAUUGCCAGUUACCUUUGAGUUGAUACAUUUUACUAUCUCGAGAUUCUUGUGGCAUUCCUGAACAAUUUCCGUUGAUCCAAAUUCUCAUCCCUCAUGUUAUGGGCCUCAAAGAGCGGCUGGAAGACUCAUUUAAGGUAUGUAACAUCUUGAACAUAUUCUGCAUUAAUGAUCUAUCAAUGUAUUUGUUUUGUGUCAAGAUCCACCAUGCCAAAUAUUUGGUCAUGUACAAAAUUUUGCCUUGGCUUGGGUGGUUACAAUAUUUUUUUCUGUACAAUCCUCUGGGUUUUCAAUUUUGUUUUGUGGAUUAUUUCUUUUGUACUAGGUUUUGACUCUUCCAUAUCAGAUCUGAAAGUUUAUUCAUGAAAUUAGUGCAAUCUAUUUUCUUUGGUGCACUUGGACAAGCAAGCAACAAUGUUACACAUUCUUGUUUUGCCAUAUUUGCCAAUAGAAGAUUUUUGCAUGUGAAGCGCAAAUAAUUUCUGCUUGAUCUAAUUAUGUAUGUAAUAAUCACUGCUUGUUGUUGUGAUGAAGUGUUGCACAUUUAGAAGAGUUUUAUGCUGACAAGUUAAACUGCAGCACAUCCAAAUCUCUAAUGUGUUGAUUUAUAAUCUGAAACAAUAGCACCAUUUUUGAGUUUCUGAUUUGAUGCAGGUUUCUCAAAGAUACACAAGUUGAUGGAGGUUUGGAAUAUCGAGAACUUGCUGGAGGUUUUGAAGGUCUUCAAGUUGCUGGAGUGAUUAUAUAAUAUGCCUUGUUUGUUGAACCUCCAGAUAUUGGCAAGUUUUACACUGCUCAUUUUGGUGGUCGUUUCAGCACACGAGCCAUUGUAUGCCUAUUUUGGUUGUGUGGCACGAUUUCUUUACCUUAAACAUAUGUACUUUGCCUUUUGAGGCACAAUGUCAUUAUAUAUGUACGGUUCAUGCAUGCGUUAAAAGCAUAUGGUUUUGGUC
This 3300-nucleotide long non-coding RNA is filed under the name Triticum aestivum (bread wheat). RNAcentral describes it as "long non-coding RNA (TAES_LNC005652)". The record is from RNAcentral. Lineage: Eukaryota; Viridiplantae; Streptophyta; Magnoliopsida; Poales; Poaceae.